RNAcentral lists this ribosomal RNA (424 nucleotides) under uncultured prokaryote. RNAcentral describes it as "bacterial SSU rRNA". It matches the Rfam family "Bacterial small subunit ribosomal RNA", at positions 355 to 776 of the family's 1533-position model. The record is from RNAcentral.
UGAGGAAUAUUGGUCAAUGGACGCAAGUCUGAACCAGCCACGUCGCGUGAAGGAAGACGGCCCUACGGGUUGUAAACUUCUUUUGUAAGGGAAUAAAGUGAGCCACGUGUGGCUUUUUGCAUGUACCUUACGAAUAAGGAUCGGCUAACUACGUGCCAGCAGCCGCGGUAAUACGGAGGAUCCGAGCGUUAUCCGGAUUUAUUGGGUUUAAAGGGUGCGUAGGCGGUUCAAUAAGUCAGUGGUGAAAGUUUUCGGCUUAACCGGAAAAUUGCCGUUGAUACUGUUGGGCUUGAAUUUGGUUGCUGUGAGUGGAAUGUGUGGUGUAGCGGUGAAAUGCUUAGAUAUCACACAGAAUAUCGAUUGCGAAGGCAUCUCACAAAGCCAAUAUUGACGCUGAUGCACGAAAGUGUGGGGAUCAAACAGG